Molecule: ribosomal RNA, 89 nt
Filed under: Streptomyces sp. P17
Lineage: Bacteria; Bacillati; Actinomycetota; Actinomycetes; Kitasatosporales; Streptomycetaceae
Source: RNAcentral
CCGGUUACAUUCCGAACCCGGAAGCUAAGCCUUACAGCGCCGAUGGUACUGCAGGGGGGACCCUGUGGGAGAGUAGGUCGCCGCCGAAC